This 431-nucleotide long non-coding RNA is filed under the name Mus spicilegus (steppe mouse). Its description in RNAcentral is "lncRNA (ENSMSIG00000019495.1)". Lineage: Eukaryota; Metazoa; Chordata; Mammalia; Rodentia; Muridae. The record is from RNAcentral.
CUGGUAGCAAGGCCUCUUACGGACAAACGGGACCUUCACUGCCAGUAUCUUCCCAGAGGUGGAUGGGGCAGGAAAGGAUCCCAGGUACCCAAGGAAGGGAUGGCCGGGCUGACCAGGAAGCAGAACAAGGCAUAUUCUCAGACUCGAAGUAGCUGCCUGCUGAUAAAGGAGAUUAAGUCUUCCUCCCAGUCCCAGUGAAGUCGCACUCUCACUUCGUAUUCAGCUUCAGAAUCACCAGCUGUAGAAGACUUUGCUCCAUCUUCUUUGCCAAGUCUUUGCUGUUGAAAGUUACUGCUUACAAUACCAUCAACUAUAUCUCAAUGUAUGUUUGAUUAUACCAUGUAUCUUUCCUCUUUGUAUUACAAACAGGCUCCAUAUGUAAUAGAUAAUGAUAAAAUAAAUAAAUGAAAUGAAAUAAAAAAUUAAAAAAA